UUAUUCAAAAUAGGGAAGCAUAACACUGGCAGAUGUGAAAAGUUCAUAAAGAACAAGAGAAGAAGACUUCCCAACAGCAGGGGGCGCACUCCAACAAUCUGAAACGUGUUCGUUUGCCUGAGGAAGAAGAACGUGAUGUCACAUCUAACAACAUUAGCACCAGACAGUGGAGAAUUUAGGAGGGGAAGCAAAAAACAGGUCAACCACGUCACCACCAGAAAUACGAAUAAGGGACAGCAUGUUUGUUUCGCAUCCUGACACUCCCUGAGGAUAUCAAAGGAACCCAAAGAGUUCAUUGAAGGAUGCUACGAACCCUGACACAAUAGUGGCGGCAUCCUUGAUCCCAUCCCAGAGGGAGUUCAUGUCUGAACUGGUCACAGCAGUGUCAGACAUUGGUGGGAGGACUGUGGAUGAGGCCACGAGACGUAUGAUGUUCUUCAUCAUGGACUAUGGCCUGUCAAGGCAGUACAACUUUGUGGGCUGGAAUGGAAAGUAGGAAUUCAGGACUUUAAAUCUGUUUGAAGUCAUAUUUGGUAAGUGCAUAAUGGAUAAUAACUGUAAUAUACUAACUUUAGGAUAUUUGUGUCUGUCGAGGGAAAUUUAUGUAUGUUAGGGUUAGGGAUAGGGGAAAUACAACCCCACCUACAAACAACCGCACCUGGCUUGAUGGAGAAACCAGGAAAACAGCUGAGCAUCUUUACGACAAUGCACUUUUACU
This is a long non-coding RNA of Fundulus heteroclitus (mummichog), 718 nucleotides long. RefSeq lists it as uncharacterized. The record is from RefSeq and is a predicted model, not a curated record. The transcript is spliced from 3 exons. Lineage: Eukaryota; Metazoa; Chordata; Actinopteri; Cyprinodontiformes; Fundulidae.